Molecule: ribosomal RNA, 87 nt
Filed under: Desulforamulus hydrothermalis Lam5 = DSM 18033
Lineage: Bacteria; Bacillati; Bacillota; Clostridia; Eubacteriales; Peptococcaceae
Also listed under: 1 other name
Source: RNAcentral
GUUCCCAUCCCGAACACAGCAGUUAAGCCCUCCAGGGCCGAUGGUACUUGGGGCUCACGCCCCUGGGAGAGUAGGUCGCCGCCAGAG